UACGUAGGGGGCUAGCGUUGUCCGGAAUCAUUGGGCGUAAAGAGCGUGUAGGCGGUCCGGUAAGUCCGCUGUGAAAGUCGGGGGCUCAACCCUCGAAUGCCGGUGGAUACUGUCGGGCUAGAGUGCGGAAGAGGCGAGUGGAAUUCCUGGUGUAGCGGUGAAAUGCGUAGAGAUCUGGAAGAACACCAAAGGCGAAGGCAGCAUUCUGGCUCGUAACUGACGCUCAUGUGCGAAAGCUAGGGGAGCGAACGGG
RNAcentral lists this ribosomal RNA (253 nucleotides) under uncultured bacterium. RNAcentral describes it as "partial 16S ribosomal RNA". It matches the Rfam family "Bacterial small subunit ribosomal RNA", at positions 524 to 776 of the family's 1533-position model. The record is from RNAcentral.